ACACACACACACACACUAACAAACACACACACAUUAACAGACACACACUCACUGACACACACACUCACAGGCAAACACACACUCACUGACACACACACACACAGGCAAACACACACUCACUGACACACAGUCAGACACACACACAUACACACUAACAGACACAGUCAGACACACACACACUAACAAAACACACACACAUUAACAGACACACACUCACUCACUCACUCACAU
Molecule: non-coding RNA, 231 nt
Organism: Pelobates cultripes (western spadefoot toad)
Lineage: Eukaryota; Metazoa; Chordata; Amphibia; Anura; Pelobatidae
Source: the annotation of a GenBank genome assembly